Molecule: unclassified non-coding RNA, 178 nt
Filed under: uncultured Ascomycota
Lineage: Eukaryota; Fungi; Ascomycota
Description: sequence contains ITS2
Source: RNAcentral
CAACCCUUAAGCCCCCGUUGCUUAGUGUUGGGAGCCUACCACGCCCGGCGCGCGUAGCUCCCCAAAGUUAGUGGCAGAGACGGUCCGUGCUCUAGGUGCAGUAGAUUCUUCAUCUCGCCUAUGGCCGGGCCUAUCCCUCGCCGUAAAACCCGCCAUGUCCGUGGCGAAUUUUGCAAGG